UUUUAUUUUUAAGUAAAAAAGCUUAAAUUUUUAUAAAAGACGAUAAGACCCUAUAGAGUUUUAUAGUUUGUAUUUAAUGAUUUUUAGGCUCAAAAUUAAGUUUCAAGCUAUUUGAUUGGGGUGAUUGUAAAAUUAAAGGAACUUUUACGGUAAUUUACAUUGAUAUGUGGGAAACCAAGUUGAUCCAAUUAUUUUGAUUAGAAGAUUAAAUUACCUUAGGGAUAACAGCGUAAUUUUUUUUGAGAGCUCUAAUCAAUAAAGAAGAUUGCGACCUCGAUGUUGGAUUAAAAUUAAAUCUUGGUGCAGAAGCUAGGAGAUUU
This 320-nucleotide ribosomal RNA is filed under the name Neochlamisus scabripennis. RNAcentral describes it as "partial 16S large subunit ribosomal RNA". Lineage: Eukaryota; Metazoa; Arthropoda; Insecta; Coleoptera; Chrysomelidae. The record is from RNAcentral.